GGUGAUGUGGUGUAGGGGUAGCAUGUGUCGUUGUGGAGUAUCCACAACACCAAGCCGAGCUUGGUUGUUAACCUAUGGAUGUUCACGAAACCGACCCGACCUGGGUUCGAUUCCCAGCAUCGCCA
Phyllosticta citriasiana is the source of this 125-nucleotide non-coding RNA. NCBI's taxonomy places the organism in Eukaryota, Fungi, Ascomycota, Dothideomycetes, Botryosphaeriales, Phyllostictaceae. The record is from the annotation of a GenBank genome assembly.